GGCUGGUCCAAGAGGAGUGAGUUAUCUCACUUGACUGUUCACAGUAAGUUACAGAUUGAACUUCUUGUUCUAACUAUUUUCCCCCCUCCUCACUACUGCACUUGACUAGUCUUCA
Molecule: Y RNA, 115 nt
Filed under: Prolemur simus (greater bamboo lemur)
Lineage: Eukaryota; Metazoa; Chordata; Mammalia; Primates; Lemuridae
Description: Y RNA (ENSPSMG00000012362.1)
Rfam family: Y RNA
About the family: Y RNAs are components of the Ro ribonucleoprotein particle (Ro RNP), in association with Ro60 and La proteins. The Y RNAs and Ro60 and La proteins are well conserved, but the function of the Ro RNP is not known.
Source: Rfam by way of RNAcentral